Molecule: long non-coding RNA, 455 nt
Organism: Gossypium raimondii (Peruvian cotton)
Lineage: Eukaryota; Viridiplantae; Streptophyta; Magnoliopsida; Malvales; Malvaceae
Exons: 3
Source: RefSeq, a predicted model, not a curated record
CCUGUCCAUCCAUCGUUAAGACGAUAAUAACUAUAAACAUCCUACGUUCUUACACAGUUUUGUUGAUUUCUCCAAUGGCAAACCACAAAACGCAACAACCAACUAUCGACGACAACAAAUCAGCAGCAUGUUGUCAGCCGGUGACAAGAAACAAAGGAAACGGCAGGAACAGAAGCUUCCUUGAAGGAUGUCUCUUUGCUUUGUGUUGCUGCUGGCUUUGGGAUGCCUGCUUCGAUCUGUAGAAUAAGGAGCAGUCAAAUGGCAAUGUGGAAUUACAUCUAAAUUAUUAAUAUUAAUGUGUGUGUGUGUUUACGAUUACUUCUUUUUUAUACUUUAUUACAAAAGAAAUAGUAAUCUAGUUCUGUAAUGAACAUUUAAGCUACAAUUUUGUAUUUUUGUGCUUUGUAUUGCGAGAAAUAUUUACAUUAGUUAAAUAAAGAAUUUUUAUAAUAAAA